RNAcentral lists this ribosomal RNA (433 nucleotides) under uncultured Stenotrophomonas sp. RNAcentral's name for it is "bacterial SSU rRNA". It matches the Rfam family "Bacterial small subunit ribosomal RNA", at positions 95 to 524 of the family's 1533-position model. Lineage: Bacteria; Pseudomonadati; Pseudomonadota; Gammaproteobacteria; Lysobacterales; Lysobacteraceae. The record is from RNAcentral.
UUGGCGGACGGGUGAGAAAUACAUCGGAAUCUACUCUGUCGUGGGGGAUAACGUAGGGAAACUUACGCUAAUACCGCAUACGACCUACGGGUGAAAGCAGGGGACCUUCGGACCUUGCGCGAUUGAAUGAGCCGAUGUCGGAUCAGCUAGUUGGCGGGGUAAAGGCCCACCAAGGCGACGAUCCGUAGCUGGUCUGAGAGGAUGAUCAGCCACACUGGAACUGAGACACGGUCCAGACUCCUACGGGAGGCAGCAGUGGGGAAUAUUGGACAAUGGGCGCAAGCCUGAUCCAGCCAUACCGCGUGGGUGAAGAAGGCCUUCGGGUUGUAAAGCCCUUUUGUUGGGAAAGAAAUCCAGCCGGCUAAUACCUGGUUGGGAUGACGGUACCCAAAGAAUAAGCACCGGCUAACUUCGUGCCAGCAGCCGCGGUAAU